CGAUGCCAUUGGCCGAGCUCCCAGCAUCCUUUGCAGCCUCCGCGUUGGCCGAGUUCCCAGCAUCCUUUGCAGAGAUGCCAUUGGCCAGGCUCCCAGCAUUCUUUGCAGCCUCCAAGUUGGCCGAGCUCCCAGCGGCCUUUGCAGCGAUGCCAUUGGCCGAGCUCCCAGCAUCCUUUGCAGCCUCUGUGUUGGCCGAGCUCCCAGCAUCCUUUGCAGCGAUGCCAUUGGCCGAGCUCCCAGCAUCCUUUGCAGCCUCUGUGUUGGCCGAGCUCCCAGCAUCCUUUGCAGCCUCCAAGUUGGCCGAGCUCCCAGCAUCCUUUGCAGAGAUGCCAUUGGCCGAACUCCCAGAAUCCUUUGCAGCCUCUUGGACAGCCAACAUCCCAGCAUCCUUUGCAGCCUCUGGGACAGCCAAUAUCCCAGCAUCCUUUGCACCCCCUGAUUUGGCCGAGCUCCCAGUGUCCUUUGCAGCCACAUUGUUGGUCUUGCUCCCAGAGUCCUUUGCAGCCCCUAAGGUGACCGAGCUCCCAGCAUCCUCUGGGGCCUCCAGGACAGCCAACGUCCCAGUGUCCUUUGCAGUCUCUGGGGUGGCCGCAUUCCCAGCAGCCUUUGCGGCUAUACCA
Molecule: long non-coding RNA, 620 nt
Filed under: Apteryx haastii (Great spotted kiwi)
Lineage: Eukaryota; Metazoa; Chordata; Aves; Apterygiformes; Apterygidae
Description: lncRNA (ENSAHAG00000016338.1)
Source: RNAcentral